This 518-nucleotide ribosomal RNA is filed under the name Weissella cibaria. RNAcentral describes it as "bacterial LSU rRNA". It matches the Rfam family "Bacterial large subunit ribosomal RNA", at positions 1 to 514 of the family's 2925-position model. Lineage: Bacteria; Bacillati; Bacillota; Bacilli; Lactobacillales; Lactobacillaceae. The record is from RNAcentral.
GGUUAAGUUAUUAAGGGCGCAUGGUGGAUGCCUUGGCACUAGGAGCCGAUGAAGGACGGGACUAACACCGAUAUGCUUCGGGGAGCUGUAAGUAAGCUUUGAUCCGGAGAUUUCCGAAUGGGGGAACCCAACUUGUUAUGCAAGUUAUCACCUAAUGAAUAUAUAGUUAGGUUGAAGGUAGACGUUGUGAACUGAAACAUCUCAUUAGCAACAGGAAUAGAAAGAAAAAUCGAUACCGUCAGUAGCGGCGAGCGAAAUCGGUAGAGCCCAAACCAAAGUGCUUGCACUUUGGGGUUGUAGGACUGUCGUUGUGGAGUUACAAAAUUGUUUAUUAGCAGAAUCAGCUGGGAAGCUGAGCGAGACAGGGUGAUAGCCCCGUAUGCGAAAGUAAGCAAUCUCCCGUGCAGGAUCCUGAGUACGGCCGGACACGUGAAAUCCGGUCGGAAUCCGCGAGGACCAUCUCGCAAGGCUAAAUACUCCCUAGUGACCGAUAGUGAACCAGUACCGUGAGGGAAAGG